Molecule: long non-coding RNA, 720 nt
Organism: Gadus morhua (Atlantic cod)
Lineage: Eukaryota; Metazoa; Chordata; Actinopteri; Gadiformes; Gadidae
Exons: 4
Source: RefSeq, a predicted model, not a curated record
CAACAGAGGAGAUCUGCUGAGUGCGCCUGACGCAAUUGGCGCCAACCUGCCAGAGGGGCCGGAGGAAGUUCAGGAGGAUGAGUUUCCUGAUGAGACAAUACCUCAGGCCACUGAUAUUCUUUUCCCGUCUUCUUCUCCGGAACCUACGGCUGAAAGUGAAGGUGCAUCUCGGAGUCCUGUCAGCUCCCCAUUUGAGGACAGUGGGCCUAUCACUUCAACUCCGGAUAGUCGGUGUGAUCCCAGAGGCAUUCCCGGAUGGGAGGCAGUCGAUGCCUUGGCAGGGUACCUUGUCAGCCUCAACCGGACGAUAACUGCUCUUUCGAACCAAGAAAUAGCAGAUAUACUGAGGUUGUACUCCAGCCUGGAUGGAAUCGACAAGUCCCCAACAAAGUACUCCCUAAAAAAUAAGAAGACGACCUUGCCAGGGCCAUGGAGAGCUUCUCGGAAACGCAGUGGCUCUGCUCCAGGCCAACAAGCAGCCGAGAGAUUGUUCAUGGUUCAUGGCCAGGCUGCCCAUAGACCCGAUUACACCAGGGUCUCUGAGUGUGUUGCACUGAAGCUUUUCAAGGAGUUCAAGGAAGGCAGAAAUAGACCAAAAGACCCUAAGGGGAGGACAUUUCCAAUUCCUCAGGCUAUUGUUAUGACGUAUGGUCAUAUUAAACAAUUAAUUGAGGAUUGCCAACAAAUCCUGCAAAGCACCAACCUGGUACUGGUGACCAU